RNAcentral lists this long non-coding RNA (309 nucleotides) under Androctonus crassicauda. Lineage: Eukaryota; Metazoa; Arthropoda; Arachnida; Scorpiones; Buthidae. The record is from RNAcentral.
GCAUUGAGCCAGUUCUGAUGGAUCUAUCAUGUCAGGAAUUGCUCACUACAAAAAUUUAUUUUAUAUUUUUAAUUCUAACAUCAUGCAUUUGAACAUAUUGGCCGUUUUGAAUAGAUUCAAAUUGGUGAAUAUUUUCAACGGUUACGUCUCUGUGAAGAGUCAGAUGACCCUGGGAGACCCAGUGAUGGCCAUAGGCAGACAGGGACAGUCAGUUCCAGACCAGUGGUUAAGAGGAUAAGUUCUGUCGAUUACCGGUGCACUCAAGUAUUUAUUCGUUAAGUUCUUUUAGUUUCUUAACUGUAAUUAGAG